CCUUAAUCGUACAAGAAAGAAAAGCCCCAAAUUAUUUUGUUUCAGACGUAGAAAGAAAACUCUAGAAGAAAAAACCAAAACUCCUUAAUUUUUUAAGGCAAUACAAAUUAAGCACACAUUUGAAGCAAGAGAUAGAAGAACACAAAACAUUUACAUCAUCAAUGGAGCUCACCUCAAAGAGAAGCUCAGUUGCUGCACUAUCAAAGAAUCAAUUUAUAUCAUCAAUGGAGCUUCCAAAUCACUUAAAUCUAAUGAGAGAAUGGGUGAGAGAAUGGAUGAUGAGCUUCUGCAAAUAGCUAUGGAUCCAUAUAUGCGAUAUAGAUUGGCAUCACAAGACUGUAGAGAAUCAUAUACAAAUAUGUUGACAAAUGAUAUUAGUGAGAAGAAAACUCGAUGUCCUACACAAAUGUGUAAAAUUUGAGAAAACCAUGAUGAUGUGAAGAUAAAAAUUACAUGUAAUAAUUUUGGACAGUCCUGUGAUAAAAAUGCUGACCAACUUUCAAGCUUUUUUGGGACAUUAGUAAAAGAUGAAAAAAAAAUGCUCCAAUUAAUUAUAAAAGUUGGCAUAAGGUACCCCUUAAAUACAAAUAUGGAAUGUGGAAAAUCAUACAGGAAAAAUUUGACAUUCCUCUUGAUGCUAAGAUUUGGACUUUUAGAAUGUUUCGUAAGAAACUUCGAGAGUAGAAAUCAUUCCUUAAAAACACUUAUUAUUUGGAGAACUUAUCAUUUGAGGAGCAAAAAAAAUGUAAAGAUAAAAGAGUGUAUCAUGAUCAAUGGGAAGAAUUGAUCAAGUAUUGGCCUACAGAAAGUGCACAGAGCAAAAGUGCUAAACACAAAAGUAGUCGUGCAAUAAUCAUACAACUGGCAGGAAGAGUUUUGCACAACUUAGAGCAUUACAGAAAGUGGGUGGUGCGAGUACGCCAACGCGUGCAACUAUGGUAUGAUCAAAUUAUUCUUAAAUUAUGUAUUAUAUAUUGCUAGCUAGUUUAGUUCAAUCUUAAUUAACAUGUCUAUAAUGUGAAAUUAAUGAUAGUUACAAUUACAAGAGAUAGAAGAAAAGAAUGAGGAUUCAUCAAAAGAAAAGACUAUGAAUGAUUCACUUUCUAAAAUUAUGGGUGGGGAAAAACAUGGAUCAGUUCGCAUGUUUGGAUUCGGCGUCUGCCCAUCCGAUGUGUGGAAAGAUAAAUCAACUUGGAAAAGGAGUCAAAAUAAGUAUGUAGCUGCGCUGGAGUCAAAAGUAGAUGAUCUAUAAUCUCAACUUAUGUUGAACAACCAAAACAAUGACAAUGUCUACUGUACAUGUUAAAUAACUCAUUUUUUUUUUUUAAUAAUUUCUAAUAUUAACCCAAAUUUGUACUAACUAAAAUGAAUUUUUUGCUUGCAGACUUUAGAUCGUGGUGACAUUGCCACAUCUUCAAAUCUGGUUUAGUUUUAUUUUAUUUUGUUGAUUUUUAACUUACUAUUCUAUCAACUAUAUACUUGUUUUGUUAAUUUAUUGUGUAUAUAUGUAGGACAUAAAUGCUAUCACCUCACUUAAUAAAGAAACUAGACAUCAACUUUGGUUUUCAUCUCCUGCGUAUGAUACUCUUCUCAUUGAGGUUGGGGAAACAGUCAACAUUAAAAGUGUCACUAAUGAGCUUGAAACAAUUGCUAUUGGUAUUGUUUGCAGCAAAGAUCCAUCUAAAAAAGUUGGAGGAGAAGAACUUGGAUCCUUUUUUUUUUUUUUUUUUUUUUUCUGAAGUUAUUGUUAAAGUUCCUAUCAAGCCUAAUGAACUAUUGAUUAAACCAUAUAGAUAUAUAAAGACAAUCCGUGAUGCUGUUGGAGCGUCCAUUACAUGGCCAACAUCAUUUAUGGUAAAUUCAAUAUGAUUCUAGAAUAAUAGUCUACCAUUCAUUAAAUAUUACUUUAAA
Molecule: long non-coding RNA, 1911 nt
Organism: Cannabis sativa
Lineage: Eukaryota; Viridiplantae; Streptophyta; Magnoliopsida; Rosales; Cannabaceae
Exons: 7
Source: RefSeq, a predicted model, not a curated record